RNAcentral lists this transfer RNA (81 nucleotides) under Streptomyces sp. ISL-111. RNAcentral's name for it is "tRNA-Gly". Lineage: Bacteria; Bacillati; Actinomycetota; Actinomycetes; Kitasatosporales; Streptomycetaceae. The record is from RNAcentral.
AAAGGUGCAGCUCAGAGCCCCUCUGAUAGCCCAAGAGCCGCUGAUUCCCAAGCUCAGAGCGCGAGUUCGAUUCUCGUCACC